Molecule: ribosomal RNA, 440 nt
Filed under: Cantacader quinquecostatus
Lineage: Eukaryota; Metazoa; Arthropoda; Insecta; Hemiptera; Tingidae
Description: partial 16S ribosomal RNA
Source: RNAcentral
GUUUUUUGAUUUUAAAUAAAAGAUUAAUUCUGCUCAAUGAUUAAUUUAAAUAGCCGCAGUAUUUUAAUUGUGCUAAGGUAGCAUAAUCAUUUGUCUUUUAAUUGGGGACUAGAAUGAAUGGAUUGACGAGGAAUUAACUUUCUUUAUUUUAUUAUUAUGAAUUUAAUUUAUAGGUUAAAAUGCUUAUAUGAAUUUAAGGGACGAUAAGACCCUAUAGAAUUUAAUAUAAAUAAUAUAUAUAAUUUAUAGUUAAUAAAUUAAUUUAUAUAUAUACUUUAUAUUUGGUUGGGGUGAUUUUAAAUAUUUUUUAACAUUUAAUUAUUUUGAUUCAUUUAUUUAUGAAAUAUUGAUCUGAAUGAUUUUCAAUUAUAAGAUUAAAUUACCUUAGGGAUAACAGCAUAAUUUUUUUGGAAAGUUCAUAUUGAUAAAAAAGUUUGUGA